UUAGUGGCGGACGGGUGAGUAACGCGUGGGCAACCUGCCUCAUACUGGGGGAUAACAGUUGGAAACGACUGUUAAUACCGCAUAAGCGCACAGAGUCGCAUGACUCAGUGUGAAAAACUCCGGUGGUAUGAGAUGGGCCCGCGUCAGAUUAGCCAGUUGGCGGGGUAACGGCCCACCAAAGCGACGAUCUGUAGCCGGACUGAGAGGUCGGACGGCCACAUUGGGACUGAGACACGGCCCAAACUCCUACGGGAGGCAGCAGUGGGGGAUAUUGCACAAUGGAGGAAACUCUGAUGCAGCGACGCCGCGUGAGUGAAGAAGUAUUUCGGUAUGUAAAGCUCUAUCAGCAGGGAAGAAAGGCUCGUAAGAGAGAUGACGGUACCUGACUAAGAAGCCCCGGCUAACUACGUGCCAGCAGCCGCGGUAAUACGUAGGGGGCAAGCGUUAUCCGGAUUUACUGGGUGUAAAGGGAGCGCAGACGGUCAAGCAAGUCUGAAGUGAAACCCCACGGCUCAACCGUGGGCUUGCUUUGGAAACUGUUUGACUAGAGUACUGGAGAGGUAAGCGGAAUUCCUAGUGUAGCGGUGAAAUGCGUAGAUAUUAGGAGGAACAUCGGUGGCGAAGGCGGC
RNAcentral lists this ribosomal RNA (629 nucleotides) under Butyrivibrio sp. R72. RNAcentral's name for it is "bacterial SSU rRNA". It matches the Rfam family "Bacterial small subunit ribosomal RNA", at positions 92 to 725 of the family's 1533-position model. RNAcentral also lists the same sequence under 1 other name. Lineage: Bacteria; Bacillati; Bacillota; Clostridia; Lachnospirales; Lachnospiraceae. The record is from RNAcentral.